CCUACGGGAGGCAACAGUGAGGAAUAUUGGUCAAUGGGCGAGAGCCUGAACCAGCCAAGUCGCGUGAGGGAAGACGGUCCUAUGGAUUGUAAACCUCUUUUGCCGGGGAGCAAAAAGCGGAUCGUGUACCGCACCGAGAGUACCCGGAGAAAAAGCAUCGGCUAACUCCGUGCCAGCAGCCGCGGUAAUACGGAGGAUGCGAGCGUUAUCCGGAUUUAUUGGGUUUAAAGGGUGCGCAGGCGGCGUGUUAAGUCAGCGGUAAAAGUUCGGGGCUCAACCCCGACAAGCCGUUGAAACUGGCUUGCUAGAGAGGGCGAGAGGUAUGCGGAAUGCGUGGUGUAGCGGUGAAAUGCAUAGAUAUCGCGCAGAACUCCGAUUGCGAAGGCAGCAUACCGGCGCCCAACUGACGCUGAGGCACGAAAGCGUGGGUAUCGAACAGGAUUAGAUACCCUUGUAGUC
This 459-nucleotide ribosomal RNA is filed under the name uncultured bacterium. Its description in RNAcentral is "partial 16S ribosomal RNA". It matches the Rfam family "Bacterial small subunit ribosomal RNA", at positions 338 to 795 of the family's 1533-position model. The record is from RNAcentral.